CCAUAGCCCCGAUUGCAGCGGCAUCCUUUUUUGUUUUUGGCGAUGGAAAUGGUGAUGGCAAAACAAAAAAGAUAUAGCGGAAAGCGGGAUUCAGC
Molecule: small RNA, 95 nt
Filed under: Chryseobacterium koreense CCUG 49689
Lineage: Bacteria; Pseudomonadati; Bacteroidota; Flavobacteriia; Flavobacteriales; Weeksellaceae
Description: Flavo-1 RNA
Rfam family: Flavo-1 RNA
Source: Rfam by way of RNAcentral